RNAcentral lists this long non-coding RNA (281 nucleotides) under Homo sapiens (human). RNAcentral's name for it is "non-protein coding lnc-MPV17L2-1:1". Lineage: Eukaryota; Metazoa; Chordata; Mammalia; Primates; Hominidae. The record is from RNAcentral.
GUAGAGGUCAAGAGAGCCUCCCCUCCCCACCAUUCCCAGAAAAGGAGGAAGGGGCUGAUGGACUCUCUGGGAACCCCCUCCCCUCCCUGCGCCCCGUCAUCAAGAAGAAAAUUCGAAGAAAAGGUUUAGCAGGGACAGAGAAGCGACCUGUCCCGGAAACCCCUUAAAGCCUGCGGGUAACAUGUUUGCUCCCUCCUCCCCCACUCGGACUAUAGAAGUAUCACCAAUCCACUGCAGAGAAAUUGGGAAAAUUCAGAAAAACAAAAAAUAAAAAGAAAUCC